Molecule: long non-coding RNA, 1514 nt
Organism: Anopheles coluzzii
Lineage: Eukaryota; Metazoa; Arthropoda; Insecta; Diptera; Culicidae
Exons: 2
Source: RefSeq, a predicted model, not a curated record
AUCGAGAAAAAGCAUUUAGGCAAUGUAACUGUAAGAUCGCGCGCGCGCACACACACACACAGGCAUGCAUGAGUGCAUGUGUGUGUGUGUGUGGCUUUGCUUGUUUUAAGUAGAAGAAAAAGGGGAGGGAGUGUGAGGGGGAUGGGGCAUUACAAUUAAGGGAGCAAAAGGAGCCGAAAAUACAAAUCGAUAGGAGAGAGAUACAUAGUGAGAGUGAGGUGAAGUGAGUGAAGUGAGGUGAGUGAAAGUGAGUAGGUGAGAAAAGGUGAGAUAAAUGGUGUAACUAAGGGGAAUAAGGGUGAAACGAGUUGGAAUGUGCAAAUAAAGUGAGUUACAAAGGGUGGAGUAGUUGUCUAUGGGUGAUAAAGAAAGAAGGAGGUAAGAAGUGUAGAUACGACACAAAGAGGGUACGAAAUACAGUACACAAGGGUAGAUAAAUAGACAGACGAACAGGGGGACGAAAAAUGCUACCGACACAGUGAGAUAAUAAUUGCGAAAUAAUAACCAAAAGUAAGUUCAAUAAAACCAUAACCUUCCGCGAGAGAGAGAGAGUGAUCUGAAGUGAGGCUAAGCUUUUUGAAUGGAAUCAAUUUUCGAAGUCCGUGUUGUUGUUUGAUUCUUCGCAACUAUCUCAUUUACAAUAUAGCACGUUAACAUCCACUUGAUAUGUGGCAAUGUGGCAGUGUUUUUCAUUGCGAUUUUGAUUGUUUCAACCACGCGUGUGCCACGUGCUCCGAGACUUGAGCCACCAUGCGUCUCCACCCGUGGCCGGGGAAAAUGGUGUGAAAGCAGAAUUUUGGUCAGCGCUUGUUGCGUGUGAGUAAGUUAGUACCGUUUCCGCUUGGUUGGAUUAUUGUUUUAGGCGCAAGAAGCGCAAGGAUGAGAGCAUGGAUACGAUUAGGAGGAGGGGGCGGAGACUGGUAAAUGAAAUGAAAAAAACAAACAAAAGACGAAAAAGCAUGCAACACAAAGAUCACACAUAAAUUGGCCGAUGAUCGAACAGAAGAAGAAGAAGAAGAAGAAGAUCAGAAACCAAACCAAAAUGCUUGCGCGUUGGAGGAGCCUCUUUUACUUUGUUUUCGUUUCGUUUUGCUUUGGUGCUUCAAUUGGAGUACGAUCUGGUACGGUUCGGGAAGAUGGAUGUCUGAAUCACAGUUUUUAGUACACACACACCUUUCUUGAAUCUUAUUCCUUUUUUGUUUUGUUUUUUUUUAUGAAUUUCUUUUUGUGGUCUUUUCUCGUUAUUUUUCUACUUUUCAUGUGUACCAUUUUAGCUCGCUAUAUUUGUAGCACAGCUUCCUCCUUCUAUCGGAGGUAUGGAAGCUAGCAUAAGAGUUGGAUCGCGAAGAGUGCAAAAGAUUGGCGAUGGCCUCAAAUAAACAGAAAAUUGUACAAACUCACGAGCGAACAUCGAAGUGUAGAGGGGAGUAAAAGGGGGAGCGAGAGUUGAGGAGGAAAGAAAAAUAAUAACAAAACAAAAUACACACACAGAGAAGUAGUGAAAAAGAGAGAGA